UACGUAGGGUGCGAGCGUUGUCCGGAAUUAUUGGGCGUAAAGAGCUUGUAGGCGGUUUGUCGCGUCUGCUGUGAAAAUCCGAGGCUCAACCUCGGACUUGCAGUGGGUACGGGCAGACUAGAGUGUGGUAGGGGAGACUGGAAUUCCUGGUGUAGCGGUGAAAUGCGCAGAUAUCAGGAGGAAUACCGAUGGCGAAGGCAGGUCUCUGGGCUGACACUGACGCUCAUGCACGAAAGCGUGGGGAGCAAACAGG
Molecule: ribosomal RNA, 253 nt
Filed under: uncultured bacterium
Lineage: Bacteria
Description: partial 16S ribosomal RNA
Rfam family: Bacterial small subunit ribosomal RNA
Source: RNAcentral